Long non-coding RNA from Silurus meridionalis, 514 nucleotides. RefSeq lists it as uncharacterized. Lineage: Eukaryota; Metazoa; Chordata; Actinopteri; Siluriformes; Siluridae. The transcript is spliced from 3 exons. The record is from RefSeq and is a predicted model, not a curated record.
UUCGAUCGGGGAUAAAAGGAUUUAACUUCCCUGACCGGGAAUCGAACCCGGGCCGCGGCGGUGAGAGCGCCGAAUCCUAGCCACUAGACCACCAGGGAGGCGAUGAGCACAAUAAUCCUCCAGCGGCUGGUCGUGGUCAUUACCACACUAUCUAUGCGGUCUGAGGGCAAUGACUCUGAUGCCCAUUGGUGCCUAGACACGGACCCCACAUACCUUCUAGCAGGUGAGCCAGAUUCGAACGGGGAUAAAAGGAUUUAACUUCCCUGACCGGGAAUCGAACCCGGGCGGUGAGAGCGCCGAAUCCUAGCCACUAGACCACCAGGGAGGCGAUGAGCACAAUAAUCCUCCAGCGGCUGGUCGUGGUCAUUACCACACUAUCUAUGCGGUCUGAGGGCAAUGACUCUGAUGCCCAUUGGUGCCUAGACACGGACCCCACAUACCUUCUAGCAGGUGAGCCAGAUUCGAACGGGGAUAAAAGGAUUUAACUUCCCUGACCGGGAAUCGAACCCGGGCC